ACUCCUGCGGGAGGCAGCAGUGGGGAAUAUUGGACAAUGGGCGCAAGCCUGAUCCAGCCAUGCCGCGUGAGUGAUGAAGGCCCUAGGGUUGUAAAGCUCUUGCACCGGUGAAGAUAAUGACGGUAACCGGAGAAGAAGCCCCGGCUAACUUCGUGCCAGCAGCCGCGGUAAUACGAAGGGGGCUAGCGUUGUUCGGAUUUACUGGGCGUAAAGCGCACGUAGGCGGACUAUUAAGUCAGGGGUGAAAUCCCGGGGCUCAACCCCGGAACUGCCUUUGAUACUGGUAGUCUUGAGUUCGAGAGAGGUGAGUGGAAUUCCGAGUGUAGAGGUGAAAUGCGUAGAUAUUCGGAGGAACACCAGUGGCGAAGGCGGCUCACUGGCUCGAUACUGACGCUGAGGUGCGAAAGCGUGGGGAGCAAACAGGAUUAGAUACCCUAGUAGUCCCA
Molecule: ribosomal RNA, 446 nt
Filed under: uncultured organism
Description: partial 16S ribosomal RNA
Rfam family: Bacterial small subunit ribosomal RNA
Source: RNAcentral